GCAUGGGCCUAGGGGAGGCGGCUGGGCCGACUGCUCGCCCUCGGCGCCCCGGAGAUCACCAGCCUGGCCUCCCUAGCCUCCGCUCUGCUGCUCUGCCGCUCUGCACGUCCCAGCUCCUGCAGUUGUUCCAGCGCCAGAGAGGAAAGGAAAAACUCCCAAGGGAAGUGACUCUGCUGCUACUGGUUCCUGGAAACUUAGUGUGAAUGUAGCCAUAUCAUCUAUUUUCACUGACGAUUUCGAGUCAUAUUAUCCCUCUUGUACUCCUCCUGGAAGCCAUCUGUGUCAGUCACAGAGACUAGCACCAACACUCAUCAGAUGAUCCCACUAAGGAAAGGAAGGAAACCAGCAUUACCCGGACUCCAAAACUAGACGACGACUCAGGAGCAGCAAUAACAAACCACAGAGCAGCCUCCCUGACGAGCGGACACGACGUUCUCAGAGUCACACCGAAUUUAAGACCCUGUAAAAAAGACUACUGGGUGGUGGAACUUUCCGUGGCUUGCUUUUGCUCACCGGGUUUUUCAUUCUCUGCUUCAACUUGGCUGUUCCUUAGUUUUCUUCUAUGUCCAUGCUCAAUGCAGUUUUCAUAUCCAGUGCUGUCCUUGUCAUUUUCCUCGGCCAUUUUUGUGUGCUUUCUUGGACUUCAGUCAUUUAUCCUGAUCCUCUCUAAGUGCAUUCGGGCUUUUACUUAUUUCUGACUUUAUAUGCUUUGAACACGUUGACCAUGCUUACAAUUGUUCUUUUGAAUUCCGUGUAUAUUUCAUGUAAGUUGCUGUCUUUAGGGGACAUUGCCAUGGAGUUGGUGAUUUGAGGGGGACAGAAGUCUGUGGUCAUGACAUCCAUCUCAAUGUAUUUGUCAGCCAACAUUUGUUUUUAUUCAUUUGUAGGCAACGCUGCUUCCAGACAUCAUAAGAAUUUAAUACCUUAAAUUCCCACCAGGUGGCGCUCCAAGGUUACCAAGAGCAGGUUAUACUUGCUGAAGUGCGAGGCAGGGCAGUGCGUGCCGUGGUGUAAAGGAGGGCUGGGCAGAAGAAUAUGUGCAUGUGUAUACAUAUAUGUACAC
This is a non-coding RNA of Cricetulus griseus (Chinese hamster), 1063 nucleotides long. The record is from RefSeq and is a predicted model, not a curated record. NCBI's taxonomy places the organism in Eukaryota, Metazoa, Chordata, Mammalia, Rodentia, Cricetidae.